RNAcentral lists this transfer RNA (72 nucleotides) under Camelus bactrianus (Bactrian camel). It matches the Rfam family "tRNA". From Rfam's summary of the family: Transfer RNA (tRNA) molecules are approximately 80 nucleotides in length. Their secondary structure includes four short double-helical elements and three loops (D, anti-codon, and T loops). RNAcentral also lists the same sequence under 1 other name. Lineage: Eukaryota; Metazoa; Chordata; Mammalia; Artiodactyla; Camelidae. The record is from Rfam by way of RNAcentral.
AGGGAAAUAGCUCAGUGGUAGAGUGCGUGCUUAGCAUGCUGGAGGUUCUGGGUUCAAUCCCCAGUACCUCCA